GAAGAACGCUGGCGGCGUGCCUAAUACAUGCAAGUCGAGCGAACAGACGAGGAGCUUGCUCCUCUGACGUUAGCGGCGGACGGGUGAGUAGCACGUGGAUAACCUACCUAUAAGACUGGGAUAACUUCGGGAAACCGGAGCUAAUACCGGAUAAUAUAUUGAACCGCAUGGUUCAAUAGUGAAAGACGGUUUUGCUGUCACUUAUAGAUGGAUCCGCGCCGCAUUAGCUAGUUGGUAAGGUAACGGCUUACCAAGGCAACGAUGCGUAGCCGACCUGAGAGGGUGAUCGGCCACACUGGAACUGAGACACGGUCCAGACUCCUACGGGAGGCAGCAGUAGGGAAUCUUCCGCAAUGGGCGAAAGCUUGACGGAGCAACGCCGCGUGAGUGAUGAAGGUCUUCGGAUCGUAAAACUCUGUUAUUAGGGAAGAACAAAUGUGUAAGUAACUAUGCACGUCUUGACGGUACCUAAUCAGAAAGCCACGGCUAACUACGUG
RNAcentral lists this ribosomal RNA (497 nucleotides) under uncultured bacterium. RNAcentral's name for it is "partial 16S ribosomal RNA". It matches the Rfam family "Bacterial small subunit ribosomal RNA", at positions 28 to 507 of the family's 1533-position model. The record is from RNAcentral.